UACACACCGCCCGUCAAACCACGAGAGUUGGUAAUACCAGAAGUACGUUUCCUAACCGUAAGGAAGGCGCGUCCCAAGGUAGGACUAGCGAUUGGGGUUAAGUCGUAACAAGGUAUCCGUACGGGAACGUGCGGAUGGAUCACCUCCUUUCUAUGGAGAUAAAAACAAAACAGAUUGACUAUUAUAUGUUCUAUUUAGUUUUCAGGGAUUAUUUAAAUAUAAUCUCUGAAAGAGAAUUGUUCUUUGAAAACUGAAUAUUAGAUGAAAAGCAUUGUAAAAGAUUAAAUAAAUCAACAAUUUUUAACAAAACAUAAAAAUAAUUUUACUGAAUCAAUUAUCAAUUGCUUUAAGAUUUUUUCUAAAAAAUAGUAAGGGCACAUGGUGAAUGCCUUGGAAAAUGGAGCCGAAGAAGGACGUGAUUACCUGCGAAAAGCAUCGGGGAGCUGGAAGUGAGCUUAGAUCCGGUGAUGUCCGAAUGGGGAAACCCAAUACGAUUAAUCUCGUAUUAUCCAUAAGUGAAUACAUAGCUUAUGAGAAGGGAACCUUGGGAACUGAAACAUCUUAGUACCAAGAGGAAAAGAAAAUAAAUAAUGAUUCUGUUAGUAGCGGCGAGCGAACGCGGAAGAGGCCAAACCAGUCUACGGGCUGGGGUUGUAGGACAUCUUUUUAGAGUUACAAAAUCAACAUAUAGUAGAAACUACUGGGAAGUAGUGGCAUAGAGGGUGAUACCCCCGUAUACGAAAUGUGUUGAUCUCUUAGAUGUAUCCUGAGUACGGCGAAACACGUGAAAUUUUGUCGGAAUCCGCCGAGACCACUCGGCAAGCCUAAAUACUCCCAUUUUACCGAUAGUGAACCAGUAC
RNAcentral lists this small RNA (860 nucleotides) under Mesoplasma melaleucae. Its description in RNAcentral is "bacterial LSU rRNA". The stretch from base 359 to 860 matches the Rfam family "Bacterial large subunit ribosomal RNA", at positions 1 to 501 of the family's 2925-position model. The record is from RNAcentral. Lineage: Bacteria; Bacillati; Mycoplasmatota; Mollicutes; Entomoplasmatales; Entomoplasmataceae.